RNAcentral lists this ribosomal RNA (491 nucleotides) under uncultured bacterium. RNAcentral describes it as "partial 16S ribosomal RNA". It matches the Rfam family "Bacterial small subunit ribosomal RNA", at positions 29 to 506 of the family's 1533-position model. The record is from RNAcentral.
AGUGAACGCUGGCGGUAGGCCUAACACAUGCAAGUCGAACGGCAGCACAGUAAGAGCUUGCUCUUACGGGUGGCGAGUGGCGGACGGGUGAGGCAUACAUCAGAAUCUACUUUUUCGUGGGGGACAACGUAGGGCAACUUACGCUAAUACCGCAUACGACCUACGGGUUAAAUCAGGGGUUCUUCGGAGCUUUGGCGAUUGAAUGAGCCGAUUUCGGAUUAGCUAGUUGGCGGGGUAAAGGCCCACCAAGCCAACGAUCCGUAGCUGGCCCGAGAGGAUGGUCGGCCAAACGGGAACUGGAACACGGUCCAAACCCCUACGGGAGGCAGCGGUGGGGAAUAUUGGACAAGGGGCGAAAGCCUGAGCCAGCCAGACCGCGUGGGUGAAGAAGGCCUUCGGGUUGUAAAGCCCGUUUGUUGGGAAAGAAAAGCAUCUGGUUAAUACCCCGCUGUUCUGACGGAACCAAAAGAAUAAGCACCGGCUAACUUCGU